RNAcentral lists this long non-coding RNA (2092 nucleotides) under Pelobates cultripes (western spadefoot toad). Lineage: Eukaryota; Metazoa; Chordata; Amphibia; Anura; Pelobatidae. The record is from RNAcentral.
CCACAAUCUUUGUGUCUGUCUGCUGUAUGUAUGUGGCACGCAAGUCUGCAUGCACUGUGUCUGUUAUGCCAGUUACUCUAACCAGUUUAUUUCUUUUUGUGUGUGUCACAGCUCUGACAAGCAUGUUCUCCUAUGGGACACGAAGUACAUGAAGAGGAAUGAAGAAGCCCAUGUCUGAUGCUCUUCUCCAGGGUGGAGUAUUGAAUUUAUAAGUAAUGAAGUGGCACCUGACACUUGACAAGCUGCUCCUGUUUGCACAGCAACUUCAACAUUGUGUACUGUGACCACUGUCUAGUUCAGAGGUAGGUAACCUUGGGCAGUCCAGAUGCUGUGAAUUACAUCUCCCAUAAUGCUGGCAAACCAUUAUGGGAGGUGUAGUCCAAAACAUCUUGGAUACCGAAUGCGUAUGAAUAAAACGUAUGGUGUGUGUGAAUGGUUAGUAACAAGGGUUGAAGCCUUGACGUGGCGUUACUGCUCACAUGUGUAUUCAUGUGCCAAUUCAACCAAUGUGAGUCACUGUAAUACUUAUAAGGUAACCAAAAGUACUGUGAUUGUGGAGAAUGAAACGCCUGUAUCACCUACACACUGUUUACACUGUGACCGUAUCUCCUAUACACUGCUUACACUGUGACCGUAUCUCCUAUACACUGCUUACACUGUGACCGUAUCUCCUAAACACUGUUUACACUGUGACCGUAUCUCCUAUACACUGCUCACACUGUGACCGUAUCCCAUAAACACUGCUUACACUGUGACCGUAUCACCUAAACACUGCUCACACUGUGACCCUAUCAUCUAAACACUGCUUACACUGUAAGCACAGACAUGCUUUUAUUCAAAAUUGAAAGCGCUCGAUCAUUCUUUCUAUUCUAUGCCUCCAAUCUUCAACAUUGAAAUUGUCAUUUCUAAUAAUAUAAAAUAAGUAAUAUGCUUUCUGGUUACGAUUUGGUGGGUUGUAACUAUAUUUUUUAUUUUUACAGUUCCAGAGGGAAGGAGCAAACCGCUUUGAGGAGUCCCUGUAUAAGAGACUAUUGGAUACUGAAGGGCUGUACUGCAGUGUCGGCUCUAGACUUGGCGAGGCCUUAGGCGAAACGCAUACAUGAGACACCACGGAGAACACCAUUAUUGAAGAAAAAAUAGCAGUUGACUUUGUGUAUAAGAAGCUGUAGAUAUAUUGAUGGUGGAGCUCAGUGGCGUAUCCUGGUUUUGUGCUGCCCUAGGCAGGACAAAACUCAGGCGCCCCUCUCCCCCCCGCCUUCUAAAUACACACACACACACAUUCACUGACAGAUACGCAUACAUUAGCUAACAGAAACAGACACACACACACUCACACUCACUAACAGACACACACAGCCCCCCCAGACUCCUUACCUUUGGUAAUGCUGGGGGGGUUCUCUAUCUCCCUGGGGUCUAGUGGGGCUGCUGGGCUGGUUGCUGGGGGGCGGGAGGGCAGCUGGCAAGGGAGCACUGACUCUGAGCUGUCUGCUCAGCUCCCUCGCGCGCCAGUGACGUCAUGUUCCGGCUCCCAGCCUCACUCUGCGGCGCGCGAGGGAGCUGAGCAGACAGCUCAGAGGAAGUGCUCCCUCGCCCGCCAGCCCAGCAUGUCAGUUAGCCGCAAGGCUAACAAGGCAUGUGCCCUGGGCAUUUGGGGGCGUCUUUUUUUGCCGCCCCCUGGAAAAUCUCGCCCAAGGCAAAUGCCUUGUUUGCCUCGUGGCUAAUAAGUCCCUGGUGGAGCUUGCAGCACUGGAUACACAGAGCUAGUCUCUGUAUACAUCGUUGCAUAGUCUACCUGAGUGUGUGUAUCUGACAGUGAGUAUCCUUGUAUCUGUAUGUAUGUUUCUCUGAGCAUGUGUAUGUUUGUGUACUGACUUGCCUUUGGAACUGAGUUUAUGGCGAAGCUAUGUUUUAUGACGGUGUGUAUAAUGAUUGCCUUUGGGGGGGUGACAGGGUGAGUAAAGGGGUAACUGUGGCAGGGUGAGUGUAAAAGAGCAGGAGGGUGCUAGCGUGUUGAGGGUUGACAGUGUGUAUGGAGGGAGGUGGCAGAGUGUGGAGAGUGGUGACAUAGUGUGAGAGGGGGGGUGAUGAGGUG